CAAGGCAUUGUAAGGUUGUGCACAAAGGUACACUGAUUUGCCUUGUGGCCUAUCUUUCUCCUAUUAUCUGUCUUCACGUUAUUGUGUCCUUUUGGGGAGAUGUUUUGCGGUAUUCUCAGAGUGACAUGUUCCUGGUCCCUCAUCACCAACACAACCCCUUCAUUGGCGAUUGAAUACCCAGUGCACAUGCUCUGGAAUCAUUCUAAAGUUUCACUGAUCUUUAGGAUCAUAGGCUUUCUUUUAUAUACUUGUUUUGUGUUUUUUUUUUACAUGAAAGGGUUGGGUGAUUAAGUUUACCAAGAUCCUAUUUGGGUUCUGAUUAGUGUUGGACUUGAUCUGUUUUCCUUUUCUCAUCAAACAUGUAUAGCAUGAUAACUAGUGUUUAUUCUUGUAGAAAUAAAGUUUUUAGAUUUUCUCAGAUUUAUAACAGUAAGAUCACUUCUUACUGUUAAAGAUUAAUGAUUAAGCAACUAGCAUUGACAGCCACAUUGUGGAUUGAAAUGGAUCUUCCUUAAAAAGAGUAUCAUUUUUCCUGUGGGCUAUUAUUCUUUGUCAGGCAAAAGAACAAGAAGGCCCCGUCAUUUUUGUCAGCAGUUGUUGCAGAACAGGGAUAACAUUGCAGGCUGCCUCUGUAGAAAUCAAAGAGGUAAAGUGCAGUACCCAAAGCUGUCCAUAUGUUUAUGGACCAUCAUGGGCUUCAUAAUUUUAACAACGCCAAGAGAGAGAGAGAGAGGGGAUGCCCUUUUAAUUGUGUUUGAUUUGUUACUGAAGAUGGAUCUUUUUGACUCAGAAUAUGGACGCUAUAAAUAAUUGAGAUGCUCGUGUGCCGCAGUGGUGGUGGGAUCAUGCCAUAAUUGAGCGCCCAUGUGAACUAUGGACAGCCACCGGCAGGACACUUUCCAGCUUCCACGCUUUGGACUCUUGUGAAAGCAAUGUGUAGAAGGACUGCUGUGUGGUAAGCCAGUCUUAUCUUUUGACGAUUGGGAAUUCUCAUGUUGGACUCCCAUCUCAUCCGAGUCAUUGCUGCCAUAAGAAGACAUUAAUUAUUUCUAGGCUUACAAAAGAAAAAUUCUUUUUGUGUUUCUUCAGCUCUAAAAUUCUCAAAGUACAUAAAAUUUGCUUAUACUUUGAAAUUAAUUAUCUUCAGGUUUCUUGAAGAAAUUAAUUAUUUCUAGGCUUACAAAAGAACAUUUCCUUUUGAGUUUCUUCAGCUCUAAAAUUCUCAAAGUACAUAAAAUUUGCUUAUGCUUUGUUGCUCCAAUUGUGAUAGAAAGAAUGAAUCACAUUGUAAUAAACACCAUGGAAACUGAUACAGCGUUCACCACCCACGUACGGUCAUCAUGCAUACACUACACUCUCCCCCUCCACCAUGCAAAAGAAGGAAGACCGAACGUGAUGAGUCACGGCAGGGAAGGUGAUGAACACGUCGCUCAGCAGAGGAGAUAACCGAAGGCCAGGGCGGCCACCGACGCCAGGGCCGCGGCAGCGGUGGACGACGUGGGGGUGCCGGAGGUGGGGCUGGGGGCGGGUGCCUGCGCCGCCGCGGCCUUCUGCACCAUGGACGCGGCCAUCACGACGGCCAUCAUGGCCAUGGCGAACAACUUGAGCUUGAGAGCUGCCUCCAUUGCUAGUAGCACUUUAAGGCACAACUACCGAGCACAGAGGAAUGGAGGGAGGAGAUGUAGAGAGGAGGCAAUGCAGUUCGGGCCGUGGAAGGAGGGGGAGGGAGAGGAGGGUUUUUGUAAGGAGACUACCAAGCUUGGGUCUGGGACAUGACAGGCUGUUUUCGCUUGUGUCUUCUUCCUCCUCCUCCUCCUCCUCCAUGUGUUUUGUUAGUUGGAACGUCUUAACAUACACGCUGUCGGAAGAGAUUUCCUUGUUUGUGUUCUCUUCCUUCUUUCUUUGUUCGAGGAAGAUGGGUUGUCCAUAGGUUGGUGCCAAAAUCUAGCUGGAAUGACAAUUGCAUGAUCCAAACUUUAGCUGUGCCCAAUCUGUCAAGAGCAACCACCGAUCUUUGAUUGUUUGUUCUUCUUUCUUCUUUAGCUGCUUCACUGUCUUCAAAGAAUUCCAUCAGAAGCUGGAGGAAGACUUUGUCAAUGGAACUCGGUUUCUGGUCACAUUUCUUCUGGAUGAAUUUUGGGAUGCAUGAUCACUCUCGAUAAUAAUUUUAAUGGUGUAAUUCUAUUAGAUUACUUGUUUUUUUAUUUCUUUUCAUCACAG
This 2220-nucleotide long non-coding RNA is filed under the name Musa acuminata (dwarf banana). RNAcentral's name for it is "long non-coding RNA (MACU_LNC004522)". Lineage: Eukaryota; Viridiplantae; Streptophyta; Magnoliopsida; Zingiberales; Musaceae. The record is from RNAcentral.